This 843-nucleotide unclassified non-coding RNA is filed under the name Hevea brasiliensis (rubber tree). Lineage: Eukaryota; Viridiplantae; Streptophyta; Magnoliopsida; Malpighiales; Euphorbiaceae. The record is from RNAcentral.
AUACCUGAGUCAUUUUACACCAACGGGGGCUUGAAAUUGAGGGUUGUAUGGACUAUUAGUUCCUUGAUUGCUGCCUCCGCGAGGCAUUACUUGCUUCAACCCAUAAUAGCAGAGCACAAGACUCUUGAUAGCUUGGUACUGACUGAUGCUGAUGGGCAGGGAGUGCUGUGUAUGAAUAGGGAGCAACUGGAGGAGUUGAGGGUGAAGCCCUUAUCUGCUUCUUCUGCAUCGAAGAGAACGCUUGUUCCUGCCCUGAAUAUGCGACUUUGGUAUGCACCCUACUUGGAAUUGCCUGAUGGACUUGUGUUGAAAGGGGCAACUUUGGUUGCUAUUAGACCUAGCGAGCAGUCUACUGCCAAGAAGGAGGUUUGUGAUGCAUCUUGGGUUUCCACUGCUUUUGAAGAGCCUUAUGGCACUGCCGCAAAGAUGCUGGUUAAGAGAAGGACUUACUGCUUGGAGAUGAACUCAUUCUGAAGAUAGCAAUGGAACGGAAAGCGCAAAUGUUUUUGGGGGAGGUGAAUGUGCAAGUUCUUUCAGUAGUGGAAAAUCAGAAACAAAUUUUGCUUUACACUUGGCCUGAAGUGGGUUUGCUGUCCCAUGGAGCUGAAUUGUGUGGUCUAUUGCUACUAUGACACCCAUCCUCGGUUGAUUAUUCACUGCAGUGAUUCAAGUUAUUCUGUGCUUUAACUGAGAAUUAAAAUGCAUCUGCUGCUUGUUUUUAUUGAGGCAUAUGCUUGUAAUUGUGCGCACAUGCAACUAGAUGAAUGUUGUAAGAGCUUUGAGUUUGUUGUCCUUUACUUCAAUCUGUAAUCUGUGUAUGUGAAAAUUGUAGGUAUGAAUAUG